Molecule: long non-coding RNA, 282 nt
Organism: Solanum tuberosum (potato)
Lineage: Eukaryota; Viridiplantae; Streptophyta; Magnoliopsida; Solanales; Solanaceae
Exons: 3
Source: RefSeq, a predicted model, not a curated record
CCUACCACCUGACUCAUGUGUAAAGAAAGAAAGUUUUAUGGAACAAACCUUGUUGCGGCAUCGGCAAGAAAAGGCGUUCAGAUUGAAAACGUUCGGAGGCAUUCAGGAAAGGAAAAGUAUUGGAGAAGUAGCUUGGUUGACUUCGGUUCUUCAGUGGAGGGUCUGACAGCCAGGUUUCUCAAAUUCAUGGCUAGGGGUUGAUUUCGAGGUUCUCGAGCUUUGGUGAGUCCUCAUGCUUCGAGGACAGAUUUUCAUUAUUCAGUUUUCUUUAUUAUUUUCAGU